CCUACGGGUGGCUGCAGUGGGGAAUAUUGGACAAUGGGGGGAACCCUGAUCCAGCCAUGCCGCGUGUGUGAAGAAGGCCCUCGGGUUGUAAAGCACUUUCAGUGAGGAAGAACGCCUGGUGGUUAAUACCCAUCAGGAAAGACAUCACUCACAGAAGAAGCACCGGCUAACUCCGUGCCAGCAGCCGCGGUAAUACGGAGGGUGCGAGCGUUAAUCGGAAUUACUGGGCGUAAAGCGCGCGUAGGUGGCUUGAUAAGCCGGUUGUGAAAGCCCCGGGCUCAACCUGGGAACGGCAUCCGGAACUGUCAAGCUAGAGUGCAGGAGAGGAAGGUAGAAUUCCCGGUGUAGUGGUGAAAUGCGUAGAGAUCGGGAGGAAUACCAGUGGCGAAGGCGGCCUUCUGGACUGACACUGACACUGAGGUGCGAAAGUGUGGGUAGCAAACAGGAUUAGAUACCCUAGUAGUC
This 465-nucleotide ribosomal RNA is filed under the name Vreelandella stevensii. Its description in RNAcentral is "partial 16S ribosomal RNA". It matches the Rfam family "Bacterial small subunit ribosomal RNA", at positions 338 to 795 of the family's 1533-position model. The record is from RNAcentral. Lineage: Bacteria; Pseudomonadati; Pseudomonadota; Gammaproteobacteria; Oceanospirillales; Halomonadaceae.